GGUUUCCCCUCCCGGCCGGUGAUGAUCAUGGAGUCGAGGAUCUGGAGGACCGCCCUGACCUUGCUUCUGCUCCUUGGCCGGCUGGUGACGUCCGCCGCAGCGUCGACCUGUCCCCGGCCGUCGGCCGCUGUUGCGAUCUUGGAACCUUUGGUGGGGACGUGUCCGGUUGUCGAUGAUAAAGUCGUCGCCGCUGGUCCGAUCGGUGUCAUCGAGGGAGACGAGGGUGUGUUGCAGAGGGCAUUGAACCUAGUGCAUAGAAACAGAGAUGACUACGUAGCUAUACUCUUCUAUGCAUCGUGGUGUCCUUUCUCAAAAAUUUGCCAACCAAAUUUCAGCGUUCUGUCUUCCAUGUUUCCCUCCAUUCGCCACUUUGCAUUCGAAGAAUCUGUUAUCAGGCCAAGCAUACUCUCGAGGUACGGAGUUCAUGGCUUUCCAACCCUAUUCCUCCUAAAUUCUACGAUGAGGGUGCGGUAUCAUCAUGGAUCACGAACCAUUAAUUCAC
This 502-nucleotide unclassified non-coding RNA is filed under the name Hevea brasiliensis (rubber tree). Lineage: Eukaryota; Viridiplantae; Streptophyta; Magnoliopsida; Malpighiales; Euphorbiaceae. The record is from RNAcentral.